AAAGCAAAACCAGCGUCACUCAGACCCACCUGGAAGAUGCAGGGGCUGCCAUAGCUGCUGCCGAAGCUGCCGUGCAACAACUCCGCAUUCAACCAACAGCACAUAAAAGCGGUCAGUCUAAUCAUGCCAGGAAGCAGCACAGACACAGCAUAGCAGGAGUCCUCCCCAUUCAAAGAACUCAGUCUGAUAAUCUGCCUCCACCAGCCAAUGGCAACCAAGACCAAAGCCAGCUAGCCCUCAGGAAGGUGAUGUCUGAUGGACCAGUCAAGCCAGAAGGAGCAAAGCCUCCCAAUCACCGGCCUGCAGAAAGCUCUGUGUCCACCGGCUCCUCGGGCAGCAGCUUUGGCAGUGGGUAUAGCGUGGACAGUGAAGGAAGCAGCAGCACUGCAGGGGAGACUAAUCUAUUUCCUAUUCCGAGGAUAGGGAAGAUGGGACAGAAUGGACAAGAGCCUGUAAAACAGCCAGGAGUAGGAGUA
This 476-nucleotide small RNA is filed under the name Pongo abelii (Sumatran orangutan). RNAcentral's name for it is "processed transcript". The record is from RNAcentral. Lineage: Eukaryota; Metazoa; Chordata; Mammalia; Primates; Hominidae.